Molecule: ribosomal RNA, 419 nt
Filed under: uncultured bacterium
Lineage: Bacteria
Description: bacterial SSU rRNA
Rfam family: Bacterial small subunit ribosomal RNA
Source: RNAcentral
AGCGAACGCUGGCGGCAGGCCUAACACAUGCAAGUCGAGCGCCCCGCAAGGGGAGCGGCAGACGGGUGAGUAACACGUGGGAACGUACCCUUCGGUUCGGAAUAGCCCGGGGAAACUCGGAGUAAUACCGAAUACGUCCGUAAGGAGAAAGAUUUAUCGCCGAAGGAUCGGCCCGCGUCUGAUUAGCUUGUUGGUGAGGUAACGGCUCACCAAGGCUACGAUCAGUAGCUGGUCUGAGAGGAUGAUCAGCCACACUGGGACUGAGACACGGCCCAGACUCCUACGGGAGGCAGCAGUGGGGAAUAUUGGACAAUGGGCGCAAGCCUGAUCCAGCCAUGCCGCGUGAGUGAUGAAGGCCCUAGGGUUGUAAAGCUCUUUCGGCGGGAAGAUAAUGACGGUACCCGCAGAAGAAGCCCCGG